Long non-coding RNA from Ictalurus punctatus (channel catfish), 1273 nucleotides. NCBI's taxonomy places the organism in Eukaryota, Metazoa, Chordata, Actinopteri, Siluriformes, Ictaluridae. The record is from Ensembl.
CGUUACUAACGUUUCAAAGCGGCGUCCACUUGCACUUAGGAGUUUGCGAGUCGAACUCUAAAAUUUGAUUUUGUAGUCGCGCUGAACACGCUUUUCAAAUCUUCCGCUGUCGUCUAGGGUGGCGUUAUGGGCUGCGUCUCAAAUUGCAAUCGAAAACUCUGACCUUUCGUUCAAAUGUAUUUACUAAUCUAGAAAAUCCAGAAGGCGGAUAUGCAAACAGACCUUGGUUGGUUUGAAGGCCACAUGAGAGGCUUUUUAUAAUUCUAACAAUAAGUGUAAUAGGAACACUGGUUCAUAUUGAAUAAGUGUCUUGAAUAAUACAUAAAUAUGCGAUGUGAGGCACAACACAAAUUUGUUUAGCAGAGGUAGAUGGGUGGGGGCUAACAGCUAACAGCCCCCCCGAAAACGACUUGAAUUUGCAAUUGCAAACUUGCAAUUGCAAGAACUGGUCUUUCGCCGACAUGAGACGUUUUAACUGUGCUCAUGUUUGACGCACGUGUAUCGAAGACGGCUUUGACUGAUUGCGUGUUGUGGUGAUGUCACAUGACUCGUCUCGGCCCGAAUCUGCGGAAAAUCUGGUAAUUUUGGAAAAAUUGCAUGAUCCUCGUAUCGCGGAGUUUGCUGAAUGUGACCCCUAGUAGCAUUUCAAAAUAUUAGCACACACAAUCUGUCUGAUUUAUAAUAUUAAUUUGUAAAAUAAUUGAACAAAUCAAUAGAGGCCAAUGUGAGUUUCUCUCACGACCCCAUUUGUAAAUGAAGCAACCUCACAACCCCUAGUUUGGGAACCCCUGACUCGGCACAAUCCUUUUGCAUAAAGGGCUAUUGCUUUGUUUAAGAUUUAAAUAUGUUCUUGACUUUUUUUUUUUUUUUUUUUUUUUUGGUCUCAGGUUGUUGAAAAGGAUCUGCCAAAAUACUUGUAGCCAAUGUGGAUAAUCUCACCAUCCUGACUUGCUGACUCGCUGCCUACGCUCCUGUAGCCUGCUGGGUAUUUUCAGUUCUUACGAGUUGCGAAUCGAUUCUUUUGGAACGGAAUCGGUUCCUUCCACAAAUCGUCCAUCGCUACAAUCCGAGCUUUAUCACACCUCCACCACCACCGCAAUGACCAGGCCUCCGUUAUCACCGUCCACAUCACCGUAAAGACACGACGCUAUUCUCCCGGAUCCGAUGGAGGGAGCAGUGAGGGUGGCCGAGGCCGGAGGGAGCUCAUCCUCAGCCGGGGCCGCUGUGGCGGAGGACACGGAGACCGUCAUUGGAGUCGGAUACGGGAUAGAAG